AGCUUUGCGCAGUGGCAGUAUCGUAGCCAAUGAGGUUUAUCCGAGGCGCGAUUAUUGCUAAUUGAAAACGAUUCCCAGUACCCUGCCAUGAUGACUUGAAAUAUAGUUGGCAUUGGCAAUUUUUGACAGUCUCUAUGGAGA
This 141-nucleotide small nuclear RNA is filed under the name Aotus nancymaae (Ma's night monkey). Its description in RNAcentral is "U4 spliceosomal RNA (ENSANAG00000010292.1)". It matches the Rfam family "U4 spliceosomal RNA". Rfam says of the family: U4 small nuclear RNA (U4 snRNA) is a component of the major U2-dependent spliceosome. Lineage: Eukaryota; Metazoa; Chordata; Mammalia; Primates; Aotidae. The record is from Rfam by way of RNAcentral.